ACGGGUGAGUAACACGUGGACAAUCUGCCUCCCGGCCCCGGGAUAGCCCAGGGAAACCUGGAUUAAUACCGGAUGAGACGGGACCCGCGAAGGCGGGACCCGGGAAAGGCGCUGCGGCGCCGCCGGGGGAUGAGUCUGCGUCCCAUUAGCUAGACGGCGGGGUAACGGCCCACCGUGGCGACGAUGGGUAGCCGGCCUGAGAGGGUGGACGGCCACAUUGGAACUGAGACACGGUCCAGACUCCUACGGGAGGCAGCAGCUAAGAAUCUUCCGCAAUGGGCGAAAGCCUGACGGAGCGAACCGCCGCGUGAACGAAGAAGGCCGUGAGGUUGUAAAGUUCUUUCGGGAGGGGGAACAACCGUGGCAGGGAAUGGCCGGCGGGAUGACGUGAACUCCCGGAAUAAGCCCCGGCUAACUACGUGCCAGCAGCCGC
This 433-nucleotide ribosomal RNA is filed under the name uncultured bacterium. RNAcentral describes it as "bacterial SSU rRNA". It matches the Rfam family "Bacterial small subunit ribosomal RNA", at positions 102 to 518 of the family's 1533-position model. The record is from RNAcentral.